This 397-nucleotide ribosomal RNA is filed under the name Bruchidius sp. KE09. Its description in RNAcentral is "mitochondrial SSU rRNA". The record is from RNAcentral. Lineage: Eukaryota; Metazoa; Arthropoda; Insecta; Coleoptera; Chrysomelidae.
UAAACUAGGAUUAGAUACCCUAUUAUUAUAAAUGUGAUUAAAAUAAACUAAAUUAGUAUUAGUUAUUUUCUUGAAAAUUAAAAAAUUUGGCGGUAUUUUAGUCUUUUCAGAGGAACCUGUCCUGUAAUUGAUAGUCCACGAUUAUAUUUACUUUAAGUUUAAGUUUACAUAUCGUCGUAGCCGAAUAUUUUAAUAGAAUUUUAAUAUUCAAGAUUUUUUAUUAAAAAAUAAAUCAGAUCAAGGUGUAGCUUAUGUUUAAGAAGAGGUGGGUUACAUUUAAUUUAUUUUAGGAUAAUUUAUUUAAAAAGAAUUUGAAUUUGGAUUUGAUAGUAAUUUAAUAUAUUUAUUUAAAAUGAUUAUAGCUCUAGAAUAUGCACACAUCGCCCGUCGCUCUUAA